GUGCUCGCUUCGGCAGCGCAUAUACUGGGGUUGGAGUGAUACAGAGAAGAUUAGCGUGGCCCCUGCACCAGGAUGACACGCGGGUUCGUGAAGCAUUCCAUAUUUAA
This is a small nuclear RNA of Balaenoptera musculus (blue whale), 107 nucleotides long. Lineage: Eukaryota; Metazoa; Chordata; Mammalia; Artiodactyla; Balaenopteridae. The record is from Ensembl.